AGAGUUUGAUCCUGGCUCAGAUUGAACGCUGGCGGNAUGCUUUACACAUGCAAGUCGAACGGCAGCACGGACUUCGGUCUGGUGGCGAGUGGCGAACGGGUGAGUAAUGCGCCGGAACGUAUCCAGUAGAGGGGGAUAACGCAGCGAAAGCUGUGCUAAUACCGCAUACGCCCUGAGGGGGAAAGCAUGGGAUCUUCGGACCAUGCGUUACUGGAGCGGCCGACGUCUGAUUAGCUAGUAGGUGAGGUAAAGGCUCACCUAGGCGAUGAUCAGUAGCUGGUCUGAGAGGAUGAUCACCACACUGAACUGAGAGACGUC
This 318-nucleotide ribosomal RNA is filed under the name uncultured bacterium. RNAcentral describes it as "bacterial SSU rRNA". It matches the Rfam family "Bacterial small subunit ribosomal RNA", at positions 8 to 332 of the family's 1533-position model. The record is from RNAcentral.